GUGCUCUUCUUUUUAUUCUUAGAGGCAACAUGAAAGACAAAAGGUUUUCAAAAGAAGGGGGAUCUGGGAAUUCUCAAUACUGCAAGUUAGUUUGUUGGCAUUUUCAUGAUGAAAAACCACAGGAUCAUAUUAAGGCUCUAGAAAACCAAGUCUGAUAACUACUUGUUCCUAAGGAGAGGAAGUAAAAACCAGAGAGAACUGAAGUAAUCAAUUGAACUGUCCCAUGGUUCCGCUAGAACAAAGAAACUGUGCUCAUAAAUCACAUCCUCUGAU
This is a long non-coding RNA of Empidonax traillii (willow flycatcher), 273 nucleotides long. RefSeq lists it as uncharacterized. The record is from RefSeq and is a predicted model, not a curated record. The transcript is spliced from 2 exons. Lineage: Eukaryota; Metazoa; Chordata; Aves; Passeriformes; Tyrannidae.